RNAcentral lists this ribosomal RNA (349 nucleotides) under Taenia hydatigena. Its description in RNAcentral is "partial 12S rRNA". Lineage: Eukaryota; Metazoa; Platyhelminthes; Cestoda; Cyclophyllidea; Taeniidae. The record is from RNAcentral.
CAUUAAUGUACAUUGUAGCUUUGUCUUAGUUAAUAUAACUAAAAUAAUUUGGCAGUGAGCGACUCUUUUUAGGGGAAGGUGUGGUGUAAAGGAUGUUCCGCCUAAUAAUUUACUUUCGUUAUGUUGGUGUAUAUCUGGUUUAAUAUUAUCGUUGAGUAAGUGAGUUUGUGUAGUUUUAUUUAAGCCAAGUCUAUGUGCUGCUUAUGAAAGUAUUCAUGCGUUACAUUUAUAAGGUUUUGGUUGUAAUACUAAAAUAUUUAGGACUUAAAAGUAAUGUUCAAUAAGUUUGUGAGUGUGAAGUAAGUUUAGCUCAUGUACACACCGCCCGUCACCCUCGAUGCAUAUUGAG